AAGCUGCUGGAGAUUUUUAAUAUGAUGUUGAUCAAUUGAAGAUUUCUGAGUUAUCUGCUGUAAGACUUUCGUUAAGGUUAAACUAACUUUUUGGUUUUGUAAUCAUGAAUUUAAGCUUGAAUUGAUGCAUUAUUGGUUAAUUAGGUACUGUGAUUAGGUUUGUUCUACCUCAAUUUGUUUGUAGUUGUUGAUAAAUUAGGGUUGUUUGAUGUGAUUAAUAUUAGGGUUAUGUGAUUUGGGAUUUGUUGUUUGGAAAAUUAGGGUCCUUUGAUGUUAGCGCAAUUAGCGUAGAUUUGGUGGCUUGAUGACUAAGGCUGUUAAUUUCAGUUUGCUUGGCCAUUGAUAUUGCUCUUUGGUUUCUUCUUUGGCUGAAUUUUCAUGGAACUGGUGUCCAUCUUGACAAAAUCAAUGAUGGUUUUACAUUUAUUUUAAUUGAUCUUUUGACUUGGACAAAUAUGUCACUUUUCCAUUUGAGUUGUGACAAUUUAGUCGAGUUAGCAAUUUGGUGUGUACUAAAUCAACAAAACUACCAGUGCUUGACUUUACGUUAUCCAAGUCUAUGUCUUAGGUCUGUAGAUGUGAUUAAUAUUGGAUUAUUGUUGUUGUUCAUGGUUUUUGUUAUUUUCUUGUGCCUUCUUAGAUGACUAUUGACUGGAAUCUUUGAUGAAUUUGUGAGAAUUGUUGCGUGAGCUCAGCAGGGAAUGGCAAGGACACGCUUAUGAUUUGUUGUCAAAAAGUUGCAAUCACUUCUGCGAUUUACUCUGUGACAAGCUUGGUGUGCCAAAGAUCCGAGAUGAUGGUUUGUUGGUUUGCUGCAAAGGUGAUGAUGGUUUGCUGCUUUGUGGUGAACUUGUAUUACAAGUUAAACAAAUUUGAAUUUUCAAAAUUUGAAUUUUCUUUGUUUUUAAGAGACCCUUUGCCAUUGGAGGAGAAAAAAUAUAAGAACAACUUAAGGGUGUCUUAACUUCUAUUUUUUCAAAAUUUAUACUUACAUUAAUGGACAGAAACCAUAAGGGUUUCUCACCAUGGUCUUAAAAUGAGAGCCAAUAUUGUAACUUUAGCUGUCGUGCUUUUGGGAUGUAUUAUCCACUUUUUAUUUUUA
Molecule: non-coding RNA, 1102 nt
Organism: Camelina sativa (false flax)
Lineage: Eukaryota; Viridiplantae; Streptophyta; Magnoliopsida; Brassicales; Brassicaceae
Source: RefSeq, a predicted model, not a curated record